This 253-nucleotide ribosomal RNA is filed under the name uncultured bacterium. RNAcentral's name for it is "partial 16S ribosomal RNA". It matches the Rfam family "Bacterial small subunit ribosomal RNA", at positions 524 to 776 of the family's 1533-position model. The record is from RNAcentral.
UACGGGGGGGGUAAGCGUUGUUCGGAAUUACUGGGCGUAAAGGGCUCGUAGGCGGCCAACUAAGUCAGACGUGAAAUCCCUCAGCUUAACUGGGGAACUGCGUCUGAUACUGGAUGGCUUGGAUUCGGGAGAGGAAUGCGGAAUUCCUGGUGUAGCGGUGAAAUGCGCAGAUAUCAGGAAGAACACCAAUGGCGAAGGCAGCUCUCUGGGACGGUACUGACGCUGAGACGCGAAAGCGUGGGGAGCGAACAGG